This 1908-nucleotide ribosomal RNA is filed under the name Triticum aestivum (bread wheat). RNAcentral's name for it is "partial small subunit ribosomal RNA". Lineage: Eukaryota; Viridiplantae; Streptophyta; Magnoliopsida; Poales; Poaceae. The record is from RNAcentral.
AUGGUGGUCAGGCGGUCGCCGGCGCGGCGGCGGGGCGUGCGGGUCGGCCCGACCAAGCUCGAGGGCCUGCCGGCCGCGUGGUCGGCCCCCGCCGUGGCCGCCGUCAAGGUCAAGUGGCCCGGCGCCGGCGGGGCGCUCUCGCAGAUGCUCACGGGCCGGCGCGGCGGCCGCGGGGUCACCGCCGUCGAGCCCGUCGGCGGCGACGGCGCCGUCCGCUGGGACGCCGCCGCCGACGCCAACCGCUUCCGCGUCGACGUCGAGCCCGGCGCCAGCCCGCGCGGCGGGGGCGGCGCCGGCCGGCCGGAGCGCGGCGUCUUCUUCUCCGUCCUAUACGGAUUCCAAGAACAAGGGAGGGGCAAGGACCUGGUGAGGCUGGACGAGAUCGGGACAGCCAUGAUCAGCCUGGAGGAGUGCUGCUGGGAGAUGCAGCUGCAGCAGCAGAAAGUUGGGGCUCCUCUGCAGCAGCUGGUGGUUGUCCCCAUCAGGGUCAGGAAGGACGGGUGGGCAAGCGAUGCCAUGCUCUAUGUAAGCAACCAAACAUAUACAUCCUCUCUCUCUCCUUUGAUUACAUCGCACACACAUCCUCUCCAAUUGCCGGCCAAUUAUUUACGAGUUUGUAUUAGUUUAGGUUUCAGUAUUUGUCAUGCUGGUUCAUGGUUCCGAUCUUGGGUGAACGUGGAGCUGGUGGACCUGAGCACGCCGGCGGAGGUGGAGAGGAGCGUCUCGUUCAGGGAGAAGCCGAGGGCGAACCCCACGCCGGUCCCGACGAUGAGGGAGAUCCACAGGGGCUCGACGUACCACGAGGUUCUUGACCUGAAGCAGCUGCUCGACCUCGCCGAGAAGCAGGGCAGGGUGGCGGUGUACCGGAACAAGCGCAACUCGGACACCAGCAGCGUCAGCAGUGGCGGCGGCAUGAGCAGCAGCAGCAGCACCGUCAGCCUGAGCAGCGCCAGCACCAGCACCAGCGGCGGCGCCAGCCCGGAGCCCGGGUCCACGUCCAAGCGCCGGUUCCUGCCGUGGCGGCGGCGGAGCCGGGAGUCGCUCUCCCAGGAAAUGCCCAUCAAAUGCAUGGGAGACGAUGAUGUCUGGGAGACGCGCGAGUUCACGAGCAGGGACUCGGAGACGAGGCUCCGGACGCCGGUCUUCUUCGCGUCCAUCGACCAGCGCGACGACAGCGCCGGCGGCGAGAGCGCGUGCACGGCGCUGGUGGCCGUGCUGGCGGCGGCGCUCCACGCCAACCACCCGCUGAUGCCGACCCGGGCGGAGCUGGACGCGCUCAUCCGGGACGGCUCGUCCGAGUGGAGGCGGCUCUGCGACGACGAGGCGCACAUGGCGCAGUUCCCCAACCGGCACUUCGACCUGGAGACGGUGCUGGCGGCGCGGACGCGGCCCAUCGCCGUGGAGCACGACAGGGCCUUCGUCGGCUUCUUCCAGCCGGAGAGCUUCGCGUCGCUGUCGGGCGCCAUGUCGUUCGACGACAUCUGGCGCGAGAUCAGCGCCGGCGAGCGCGCCCCGGGCGAGGCCGACGUGUACAUCGUCAGCUGGAACGACCACUUCUUCGUGCUCAAGGCCGAGAGCGACUGCUACCACGUCGUCGACACGCUCGGCGAGAGGCUCUUCGAGGGCUGCGACAAGGCCUACAUGCUCAGGUUCGACGCCACGUCGGAGAUGCGCGCCCUGCCGUCGCCGGACUCGUCACCGUCGUCGGGGCCGGAGGAGGAGGUGGUGGUCGCCACCGGCAAGGAGUGCUGCGGGGAGUUCAUCAAGAGGUUCCUGGCCGCCAUCCCGCUGAGGGAGGAGCUGCACAUCGAGCAGAGCGGGUGCGCCGACGCCGGCGCGCCCCACCGGCGGCUGCAGAUUGAGUUCCACUUCACCGUGCUGCAGCAGCAGCAAGAUGGAGGGAGAUGA